Molecule: long non-coding RNA, 296 nt
Filed under: Phasianus colchicus (ring-necked pheasant)
Lineage: Eukaryota; Metazoa; Chordata; Aves; Galliformes; Phasianidae
Description: lncRNA (ENSPCLG00000004969.1)
Source: RNAcentral
AUGGAAACUUUCAUGAGAAACAAAGGAUAUAAGAAGGAGAGGCUCCUACCUAUGGAGCAGGAAGCCAGAGAGGAGGAGACUUUUCAGCCACAGGCUCAGGCUAUGCUAUCUGAAGCUGCUUCUUGCAGCAUUUGGUACUUCUCGUUUUGCGUUGCUGCUGGCCUUCUAAUGCCUGAGAUCACCACAGGAAAUAUUUGUACGUACUGCAGAGGUGGUGGCGGCUGAUGGCAGAGUGAGAAGCAGUGUUCAAAAUGUGUCCACGUUAGUCGAGAUAAUAAAGCCUGGUCCUGCAGCCA